GACGGGGGGAGCAAGCGUUGUUCGGAUUUACUGGGCGUAAAGGGCGUCUAGGCGGGCUUUCAAGUCGAGUGUGAAACCCCACGGCUCAACCGUGGAUCUGCACUUGAUACUGUUGGUCUUGAGUACGGAAGAGGAAAGCGGAAUUCCUGGUGUAGCGGUGAAAUGCGUAGAUAUCAGGAAGAACACCGGUGGCGAAGGCGGCUUUCUGGUCCGAUACUGACGCUGAAGCGCGAAAGUGUGGGGAGCAAACAGG
Molecule: ribosomal RNA, 253 nt
Filed under: uncultured bacterium
Lineage: Bacteria
Description: partial 16S ribosomal RNA
Rfam family: Bacterial small subunit ribosomal RNA
Source: RNAcentral